AAUGAAGACAAAAAUAAUAUAAUGGGUUGGUCGUCUGGCAAGAAUGACUGAAGAGACAGCUUCAGAAAGACUUCUUGAGGAAAAACCUUCAAGAAAAAGAUGUAGGAAAGACCAAAGAAGCAUCGGAAGACAAGGUGAUCUGAGACUUGGAACUACUUGGACUGGAGGAAGACUAGAGGACAGUGGCAGAGGAAUGAAAGAAAUGGCAAGGCUAUGUGCAGGUGGCCAUAAACUACAGAGUCCACGGAGCCAAUAGAAGAAAAAGAAGAUAUGAGCCAUUUAUUUUGAAAGUGGGGCAUGUUCAUUUUUGUUAUUGUGAGAUAUUUAAAGGUUUGCAUUUCAAUAAAUUUAA
Molecule: long non-coding RNA, 352 nt
Filed under: Androctonus crassicauda
Lineage: Eukaryota; Metazoa; Arthropoda; Arachnida; Scorpiones; Buthidae
Source: RNAcentral